Thunnus maccoyii (southern bluefin tuna) is the source of this 1789-nucleotide long non-coding RNA. RefSeq lists it as uncharacterized. The transcript is spliced from 6 exons. NCBI's taxonomy places the organism in Eukaryota, Metazoa, Chordata, Actinopteri, Scombriformes, Scombridae. The record is from RefSeq and is a predicted model, not a curated record.
UCUGGCUCUUCAGCUCUUUUUGAACUUCAUGUUCUGGAGAAAUGGUAAUAUAUGUGUCUGUCUAUGUUGUUUAGCCCUUACGAAGAGCAAACAAAGGUGGGAGGACCUCAUCACCACCAGAGGUUUCAUCUGAGUUACAUGCAGCUUCCAAGAGUUUGCUGUUGUUAGGAAGUCCAAACCAAGAGGAGGAGACCUCAUCACUAUCAUCACUGUCAGAAGUUUCAUCUGAGAUACCCCUGGAUUUGAGCACCCCUAAAAGCUCACACUCUGAUGCUAAUGAUGACCCAGAUGUACCACCCCUGAGAAGAACUGACAGCAUAUUUCUCACCAAAGAACACCUUGAACAGAUGUCCAAGGUGUCUGAUGGAUCAGAGGCGACUCAGACCUGCGCUACAGAUGUGGUAGUUGGAUCCUCAAGAUCUAAGAGAAGAUGGCGAGCUGAGUCUGACAGCGGUUACCCUAAAACAAGAACCUUAAAGAUGAGGUGGUCGUCUGAAGAGGUACACGCUGUGGAAAAGACACUAAUGGCCUUCAUAGAAGCUGGUAAAAUACCACGAAAGUCGGAGUGUAUUGCCUGCAUUACAGCUUCACCAGAAGCACUUAAAAGACGAACCUGGUUGAUGGUAAAGUGCUAUGUUAAAAAUUGCAUCAUUGCCAAUCUUUAUGAAAGUACAAGAAAAACUAACUGAGAAGACUGCAGUUAUUUCACGUUCUUAAAUGUGUGGAUACAUGUGUUUCUCUUUGCACUUGUUCUCAAUUAUGUUGAUAAGUAUGAUGCUCUUUGCACUUGUUCUUAAUGUGUUGCUCUGUAGAGCAACAAGAACAGUCAGUCAUGGGAUGCUGUUCUUUGUGGUUCUAUCAAUGUUCUUUAUUCAGGCCCCAGAGGAGAACUUUUCUCCUGCUUCCUCUGCUUCUCUGAGCUUUUCUGUGCAGAAUCAGAGACCAGCUGAUGAGUCAGCUCAUUAAUACACUGUACUAUGGAGGGAACAUAUCUCCAGUACAACAGUAGUCCAUCGAUAUAUCAGAUUAUGCUGUUUGGCCAAAUAUGUAUAAUGGAUCUCCGACAGACUUCAUGGUUCUAAAUCACUGCUGGAAUGAGUGAAUCAUUGAUCAUGUGGACCCCUACUGGCAUGGAGAGAAAUACAAAGACAGUUGUUGUGCUCGCUGGUCGUUCUUGUGUUCCAAAGUUUUACUUCUUGUGACGUGAACUUAAAAUGGAAGCAGAGUGAGGCUUGUAGGAUGUAACGGGGCGGAUGUUUGAAGUAAAUUCAAAGGCCAUUUUCAAUAAAUGUUUUGUGAAAAUAAAAGCUUAAUUUGUCUUUGCAUUUUGUACAGUAGGCUUUGUUUUCCUCUGAGCAACAGCAUUUUAGAAACUCAGUCUGGUGUGUUUUGGGAGAAAACAUGAUGCCUGGUAGUUUCGAUCAUCACAUUCAGUAAAAAGUCAUAAUUGUUUAUUUGUUAACCAGGUUUGGUUUUUGUCAUACCUGUUGAAGCUCAGUUGGGAAACUAUUCAAUUUUACAAUUAUUUUAUUUGCAACGUGUUCAAUCAUAUCAAGUAAACGAGCAUCUAUAAAUAAAAUAUAAAAGUAAAGCAACAGCAAGAGAAACAGCAAAAAAAAUCCAUUUGGACUAAUAGAUGUGAAAUAUCUGUCUGUAGUAGAUAUCUAAAACUCAUCAUGCUUAACUUUUGGCUAUUGAAAGAACCUUGUGUGUGGACGGUAGUGUGUUGUGUGAAUGGAUUGUGUGGUGUUCUGGGUAACAGUGUCCUUGUCUGGAAAUAACAUCUUUA